Molecule: transfer RNA, 72 nt
Filed under: Marmota marmota marmota (Alpine marmot)
Lineage: Eukaryota; Metazoa; Chordata; Mammalia; Rodentia; Sciuridae
Also listed under: 1 other name
Rfam family: tRNA
About the family: Transfer RNA (tRNA) molecules are approximately 80 nucleotides in length. Their secondary structure includes four short double-helical elements and three loops (D, anti-codon, and T loops). Further hydrogen bonds mediate the characteristic L-shaped molecular structure. tRNAs have two regions of fundamental functional importance: the anti-codon, which is responsible for specific mRNA codon recognition, and the 3' end, to which the tRNAs corresponding amino acid is attached (by aminoacyl-tRNA synthetases). tRNAs cope with the degeneracy of the genetic code in two manners: having more than one tRNA (with a specific anti-codon) for a particular amino acid; and 'wobble' base-pairing, i.e. permitting non-standard base-pairing at the 3rd anti-codon position.
Source: Rfam by way of RNAcentral
GCGGAUGUGGCUCAGUGGUAGAGUACCUUGCCUGGCAUGCAUGAGGCCUUGGUUUAGAUCCCCAGCACUGCA